GCUCCAAACCUUCCCAGGGUGCACCUUGCCUGGAUUGUGGUUGAUUAUUUUCGGCUGUAUAUUCCUUCAACCACAACUUAGCAGAAUGACUGAGAGGAGGAACUCCCAACAGAGAAAAGAUCCAGAGAAAAUGGCCUCUCCCACAGAUCUAAUGGAUGUGGAUAUAAGCAAGAUGUCAGAAAUAAACUUCAUGGUAGAAGUUAUGAUGUCAGUAGUCAGGCUGGAGAAAACUAUUAAUGACAGUUGGAAGGUUAAAAAGGUUAAAAUAAAGUAAGAAGGGACAUUGGAAUCAACCCAGCUCAGAGGCCGAGAGGAGUUGCUCCUCCCAAUGGUGUGUAGGACUUGGACAGAAGCCACUGGACUCACUUUCACCCCCUACACUCUCCAGCAAGUCAACACCCUUCUCUGAGCCUAGGCCUCUUCAGGUAUAACAUGGACCACAUGGCUUUGGAGAGAAGAGGUCUUUGGGCUGAUGUAUUUUUUUUUUUUAUAUGUAUAUUACUUUGAAGAAAGUUGUAUUUUCUCUACUCUCAGCUUCUCUUAGGAGCUGACAGGCUUUGCAGGUAAUUCUGGUCAAACCCCCUGAUUACAGUGAGCCAGCCUGCACUGUGGUACCCAGUGUUAUACUGGAAAUAUAAACAACUGACGGGUGUUUGGGUGUCUGUUUAAGAAGGAGUGGUGGCCCAUUUGUAUUUGGGCAGAGAAGUCCUGAUUUUGUGUUCAUACCCUGCAGGCCCCAUGAGAAGUCAGGUCCCCGGGCUCCAUCAGCAGGGCAGCCAGAGACAGUAGCACAGGCACCUGGGCUGUUGUAUCUGCUGAGACCAGAAGUGGUGGUUCUGUUCUUCUUCUAUUAUAUAAAGAAGCAUUCCAUUUUCUUGAGGGGCCCUAGGCUCAACAGGAUCAAUUCUCUUCCUGCAUGCUUUUGUUGGUGUUUGGAACCCUGCCAAUUUAAAAUCUUUAUAUUAUUCUCUGCACAGAAAUGUCUCCCUCUCUAUUAUGCUAAGUGAAAUAAGUCAGUCAGAGAAAGACAAAUAUCAUAUGAUCUCACCCUUAUGUGGAAGUUAAGAAACAAAACAGAUGAACAUAGGGAAAGGGAAGGAAAAAUAAAAUAAAUUGAAAUCAGAGUGGGAGAAAAACCAUAAGAGACUCUUAACUCUAGGAAACAAACUGAGGGUUGCUGGAGGGGAGGUUGGUGGGGUGAUGGGGUGAGAGGGUGAUGGGCAUUGAGGAGGGCACGUGAUGGAAUGAACACUGGGUGUUAUAUGCAACCGAUGAAUCACUGAACUCUACCUCUGAAACUAAUA
RNAcentral lists this long non-coding RNA (1304 nucleotides) under Mustela putorius furo (domestic ferret). RNAcentral's name for it is "lncRNA (ENSMPUG00000028596.1)". Lineage: Eukaryota; Metazoa; Chordata; Mammalia; Carnivora; Mustelidae. The record is from RNAcentral.